Molecule: ribosomal RNA, 1242 nt
Filed under: Triticum aestivum (bread wheat)
Lineage: Eukaryota; Viridiplantae; Streptophyta; Magnoliopsida; Poales; Poaceae
Description: partial small subunit ribosomal RNA
Source: RNAcentral
AUGGGGUUCGUGUCGCUGCUGGCGGUGGCGUCAACGCCGGUGGUGGAGGUGCUGCUCGUCGCCCUCCUCGGCGCCUACCUCGCCUCCCCGCGCUGCGGGCUCCUGGCCCCCUCCGCCCGCGCUGACAUCAACCGCGUCGUCUACGCCGUCUUCACCCCGGCGCUCCUGCUCGCCAGCCUCGCCUCCACCGUCACCCUCCAGGACGCCCUCUCCUGGUGGUUCAUGCCGGUGAACAUCGGCAUCAUCUUCUUCGCCGGCGGGGUCCUGGGGUGGCUGGCCGUGCUCAUCCUCAGGCCGCCGCCGCACCUCCGGGGGCUCGUCGUCGCGUCAUGCUCCGCCGCCAACUUCGGCAACCUGCUCCUCAUCGUCAUCCCCGCCGUGUGCCGCGAGGACGGCAACCCUUUCGGCGGCGACUGCACCAGCCGCGGCCUCUCCUACGCCUCCUUCUCCAUGGCGCUCGGCGGGCUGUACAUCUGGACGCACACGCACGGCGUCAUGAAGCGGUCCAGCGAGGUACGUCGGAGGAUGGUCGCCGACCAGAAGGCUGCUGCUGCUGAAGCUCAUGACCAUAACAAAAAUGUCAGGCCAGGGGAGAAAGGAACAGAGGAAGAAGACGAGCCGAGCUGGAACGACGGCGAUGGCGAGGAGGACGGGCUUUCCCCACUGCCGUCGUCUUCGUCCAACCAACACCACACAGUAGUGUGGGCGAAGCUGAAGCAGGGCGCGCACCAGAUCGUCGACGAGCUCAUGGCGCCGCCGACCGUCGGGGCGGUUCUAGGCUUCACCGUCGGCACGGUGCCGUGGCUGAGAUCCGCCUUCAUCGGCGACAGCGCUCCGCUGCGAGUCGUCCAGGACUCCCUCAAACUGCUCGGAGAUGGCACCAUCCCCUGUGUGAUUCUCAUCCUUGGAGGCAACCUCACCAAAGGCCUGCGCAAGACGACCAUGUCGCGGUGGGUGAUCACGGCCAUCGUCUGUGUGCGCUAUGUGAUCCUGCCGGUGGUCGGGGUGGCGGUGGUGAGGACGGCGAGGGAGCUCGGCUUCCUGCCGCCCGACCCACUGUACCAGUACGUGCUGAUGCUCCAGUUCGCGCUGCCGCCCGCGAUGAGCAUCGGCACCAUGGCGCAGCUCUACGACGUGGCCCAGGAGGAGUGCUCCGUCGUCUUCCUCUGGACCUACCUCGUCGCCGCCCUCGCCCUCACCGCCUGGUCCACCGUCUUCAUGUCCAUCCUCGCCCCCGCCUAG